GACGAACGCUGGCGGCGUGCUUAACACAUGCAAGUCGAACGGAAAGGCCCCCUUGUGGGGUACUCGAGUGGCGAACGGGUGAGUAACACGUGAGUAACCUACCCUUGACUUUGGGAUAACUUCAGGAAACUGGGGCUAAUACCGGAUAGGAGCUCCUGCUGCAUGGUGGGGGUUGGAAAGUUUCGGCGGUUGGGGAUGGACUCGCGGCUUAUCAGCUUGUUGGUGGGGUAGUGGCUCACCAAGGCUUUGACGGGUAGCCGGCCUGAGAGGGUGACCGGCCACAUUGGGACUGAGAUACGGCCCAGACUCCUACGGGAGGCAGCAGUGGUGAAUAUGGCACAAUGGGCGGAAGCCUGAGGCAGCAACGCCGCGUGCGGGAUGACGGCCUUCGGGUUGUAAACCGCUUUCGCCUGUGACGAAGCGUUAGUGACGGUAAUGGGUAAAGAAGCUCCGGCUAACUACGUG
This 465-nucleotide ribosomal RNA is filed under the name uncultured bacterium. RNAcentral's name for it is "partial 16S ribosomal RNA". It matches the Rfam family "Bacterial small subunit ribosomal RNA", at positions 28 to 507 of the family's 1533-position model. The record is from RNAcentral.